RNAcentral lists this ribosomal RNA (200 nucleotides) under uncultured Acidobacteriota bacterium. RNAcentral describes it as "uncultured Acidobacteria bacterium partial 16S ribosomal RNA". The record is from RNAcentral. Lineage: Bacteria; Pseudomonadati; Acidobacteriota.
GCGGAAUAUUGGGCGCAGCUGAGCAGCCACGUCGCGUGCAUGAUGAAGGCCUUCGGGUUGUAAACCUCUUUUAUUACCGACAAAAUUACGGUAACUUAUGAAUAAUGGCGGCCCGCUCCAUGCCACCACCCCCGGUUCUCCACCAUCCCCCCCGGCAAUAAAAUAAUGUCGCCUUCGAUGGUGAUGAAAUUUUCCAUGUG